Molecule: transfer RNA, 77 nt
Filed under: Maledivibacter halophilus
Lineage: Bacteria; Bacillati; Bacillota; Clostridia; Peptostreptococcales; Caminicellaceae
Description: tRNA_Thr_GGT
Rfam family: tRNA
About the family: Transfer RNA (tRNA) molecules are approximately 80 nucleotides in length. Their secondary structure includes four short double-helical elements and three loops (D, anti-codon, and T loops). Further hydrogen bonds mediate the characteristic L-shaped molecular structure. tRNAs have two regions of fundamental functional importance: the anti-codon, which is responsible for specific mRNA codon recognition, and the 3' end, to which the tRNAs corresponding amino acid is attached (by aminoacyl-tRNA synthetases). tRNAs cope with the degeneracy of the genetic code in two manners: having more than one tRNA (with a specific anti-codon) for a particular amino acid; and 'wobble' base-pairing, i.e. permitting non-standard base-pairing at the 3rd anti-codon position.
Source: RNAcentral
GCCCAUGUGGCUCAGCAGGUUAGAGCGUCGCCUUGGUAAGGCGGAGAUCGGCGGUUCAAAUCCGCUCAUGGGCUCCA